RNAcentral lists this ribosomal RNA (297 nucleotides) under uncultured fungus. RNAcentral's name for it is "partial 28S ribosomal RNA". It matches the Rfam family "Eukaryotic large subunit ribosomal RNA", at positions 1 to 292 of the family's 3401-position model. The record is from RNAcentral. Lineage: Eukaryota; Fungi.
UUGACCUCAAAUCGAGUAGGACUACCCGCUGAACUUAAGCAUAUCAAUAAGCGGAGGAAAAGAAACUAACAAGGAUUCCCCUAGUAACGGCGAGUGAAGAGGGAAGAGCUCAAAUUUUGAAUCUGGCGUCUUUGGCGUCCGAAUUGUAAUCUAGAGAAGUGUUUUCCGUGAUGGACUGUGCACAAGUCUCCUGGAAUGGAGCGUCAUAGAGGGUGAGAAUCCCGUAUAUGGCACAGACUCCCGUUGCCCUGUGAUACACUCUCGACGAGUCGAGUUGUUKGGGAAUGCAGCUCUAAA